Small nucleolar RNA from Panicum virgatum (switchgrass), 139 nucleotides. RefSeq annotates it as small nucleolar RNA Z247. NCBI's taxonomy places the organism in Eukaryota, Viridiplantae, Streptophyta, Magnoliopsida, Poales, Poaceae. The transcript has a single exon. The record is from RefSeq and is a predicted model, not a curated record.
GCCCUAGAAGAUGAUGAGCUGGUGGAGUACAUCCUCACCGGGCUCGAUGAUGAGUACGACCCCGUGGUCUCAUCGGUUCUUGGUCGAUCCGAGCCUAUCUCCGUGAGCGACCUAUACUCCCAACUUCUUGCCUUCGAGA